RNAcentral lists this long non-coding RNA (1438 nucleotides) under Chinchilla lanigera (long-tailed chinchilla). RNAcentral's name for it is "lncRNA (ENSCLAG00000023824.1)". Lineage: Eukaryota; Metazoa; Chordata; Mammalia; Rodentia; Chinchillidae. The record is from RNAcentral.
AUGUUUCCAUCAGAGCUGGGAGGUGGCUCCCGGGGUGACUGUGGCUUCCGAAGCAGCCCUGUGACGGGCAGAGGGAGGACAGCACACGUGUCCAGGUGGACUCUGAGCACUCAUAUGGAGCUGUUUGUGAGCUGUGGCUGUCGCCGGAGCUGGGUCCCUAGAGCUGCCCUGUGGAGAAGCAGAGAUACAAAGGCCUGGCAGCAGGCUGAGGAGCCGCUGAUGGGGGCACCGCGGUCCUUCCUUGUCUGGGUGGCAUUUCCUGUGGUUUUGGUUGCCGGCGUCACCCGGUGUCCUGAGGGCACAAGGCCUCUCCUGAUUUAUCACCAGGCAAGAGCCGCCAUGUUGGAUACACAGGUGGUCACCUCACUUCCUCUCGUCCUGUAGGCCCAGAAUCCUCGCUGAGGUCCCAAGAUGGAGGAGGCGAGUGUGGUCGUGUUACACUGGGGUAUAACGUGUGUGUGUGUGUGUGUGUCUGACAGAGACAGAGAGACCACAUAACUUUUAUUACAGUGGAUUGCUAUAAUUAUUCUAUUUUAUUAGUUAUUUUUGAUCUUACUGUGCUCAAUUUAUAAAUUAAACUUUAUCAUAGGUAUACCAAAAAAAACAGCAUACAAGUUGUGAUUAAAAAACUGCUCUCAAGGGCCAUCCCUGAACCUCAGUAAUGGGGUGUGACAAGUUUCAGUCUGUUUGGUGCAGUCAGCGGGUCUCGAGCUACAGGUGAGAGGAGGUGUGUUUUAGAGUGUGCCGUAAAGCACUGGUCACAAACGCGUGACCAGCGUGAAAUUUUGUCGAUGGUAUUGGAGUUGCGGAUCCUGUGCUUCAGACUCCUGCUUUUACGAUGUAGCAGGUAGGAGAUGAAGUUUAGGCCCCUGAAUGUGAUCCUGAGACUGAGGCUCAGACUUCCCGGUGGAAAUCACCCAGCUCUCCUUGUGCAAAAGGGCAUCGGUCCAGACCCAGCAGCACGACGAUGGUGCUUUUGACCCUGAUGGAGCUGCACGAGUCGAGUUUGCACCCUGAGUGCAGCGGUGGGUGCCGGGAGCUCUGAGGGCCUUUGAGAGCAUCUGAGAAACGACGUGGGCAGGAAGCAGCUGAACGCUGAGCCAGCGCUUUCCCCCUCCAUCAAGACUCUGCUCUGGGUCACACAUCGACUCUGGUACAGCAGUUCCCGUCCAAUAAAAACAUGGCUCCGUGUCCCAUGAGCCUUAGUGACCAGCUCUGGCACUGUGCGACUUCUGCCGCUUCCCCAGAGUCAACAUGACUGUGGAAGGUCAACGUUUUGCAUCAGUUUGGGGUACAGAAGCAGCCAGGACAGUGCAACUAGAGACACUCAGGAAAGAAGACUGCAGAGCUGCUGCAGAAAGUGGCAAGGCGAUGGGAUGAGUUCAAAGAGGGGGAGAUUCUGAGGGGAUCCAUGGCCAUGUGCCUUCUACUGCAAUAA